RNAcentral lists this ribosomal RNA (264 nucleotides) under Salmonella enterica subsp. enterica serovar Typhimurium. Its description in RNAcentral is "partial 23S ribosomal RNA". It matches the Rfam family "Bacterial large subunit ribosomal RNA", at positions 1085 to 1348 of the family's 2925-position model. Lineage: Bacteria; Pseudomonadati; Pseudomonadota; Gammaproteobacteria; Enterobacterales; Enterobacteriaceae. The record is from RNAcentral.
CCAGACAGCCAGGAUGUUGGCUUAGAAGCAGCCAUCAUUUAAAGAAAGCGUAAUAGCUCACUGGUCGAGUCGGCCUGCGCGGAAGAUGUAACGGGGCUAAACCAUGCACCGAAGCUGCGGCAGCGACACUAUGUGUUGUUGGGUAGGGGAGCGUUCUGUAAGCCUGUGAAGGUGUGUCGUGAGGCAUGCUGGAGGUAUCAGAAGUGCGAAUGCUGACAUAAGUAACGAUAAAGCGGGUGAAAAGCCCGCUCGCCGGAAGACCAA